GACGAACGCUGGCGGCGUGCUUAACACAUGCAAGUCGUACGGUAAGGCCCUUUCGGGGGUACACGAGUGGCGAACGGGUGAGUAACACGUGAGUAACCUGCCCACAACUUUGGGAUAACGCUAGGAAACUGGUGCUAAUACUGGAUAUGUGCUCCUGCUGCAUGGUGGGGGUUGGAAAGCUCCGGCGGUUGUGAUGGACUCGCGGCCUAUCAGCUUGUUGGUGGGGUAGUGGCCUACCAAGGCGGCGACGGGUAGCCGGCCUGAGAGGGUGACCGGCCACAUUGGGACUGAGAUACGGCCCAGACUCCUACGGGAGGCAGCAGUGGGGAAUAUUGCACAAUGGGCGCAAGCCUGAUGCAGCAACGCCGCGUGCGGGAUGACGGCCUUCGGGUUGUAAACCGCUUUCAGCAGGGACGAAGCUUUUUGUGACGGUACCUGCAGAAGAAGCACCGGCUAACUACGUG
Molecule: ribosomal RNA, 464 nt
Filed under: uncultured bacterium
Lineage: Bacteria
Description: partial 16S ribosomal RNA
Rfam family: Bacterial small subunit ribosomal RNA
Source: RNAcentral